Molecule: ribosomal RNA, 226 nt
Filed under: uncultured bacterium
Lineage: Bacteria
Description: partial 16S ribosomal RNA
Rfam family: Bacterial small subunit ribosomal RNA
Source: RNAcentral
GACAAACGCUGGCGGCGUGCAUAAAACAUGCAAGUCGGACGAGCCAAUCCCCGCAAGGGAAAGGCUGGUGGCGAACGGCUGAGUAACACGUAGGUGAUCUGCCCUGAAGUGGGGGAGUAACGACUCGAAAGAGUCGCUAAUACCGCAUGUGACCAUCGAUUCGUUUUCGAUGCUCAAAGUCGUAAGACGCUUUAGGAGGAGCCUGCGGCGGAUUAGCUAGUUGGGA